RNAcentral lists this ribosomal RNA (253 nucleotides) under uncultured bacterium. RNAcentral's name for it is "partial 16S ribosomal RNA". It matches the Rfam family "Bacterial small subunit ribosomal RNA", at positions 524 to 776 of the family's 1533-position model. The record is from RNAcentral.
UACGUAGGGUGCGAGCGUUAAUCGGAAUUACUGGGCGUAAAGCGUGCGCAGGCGGUUCGUUGUGUCGGCGGUGAAAGCCCCGGGCUUAACCUGGGAAUGGCCGUUGAAACUGGCGAACUGGAGUGUGGCAGAGGGGGGUAGAAUUCCACGUGUAGCAGUGAAAUGCGUAGAGAUGUGGAGGAAUACCGAUGGCGAAGGCAGCCUCCUGGGCCAACACUGACGCUCAUGCACGAAAGCGUGGGGAGCAAACAGG